CCAAAAUGCAUGAAAAACAAACAUCUCUACAUAUAAUGACAUGAGCAUUGAAGUGAAAGAGCUGGCCACCUUUCUAAAUAUAGAGGAUCAUGUGG
Long non-coding RNA from Octopus sinensis (East Asian common octopus), 95 nucleotides. RefSeq lists it as uncharacterized. The transcript is spliced from 3 exons. NCBI's taxonomy places the organism in Eukaryota, Metazoa, Mollusca, Cephalopoda, Octopoda, Octopodidae. The record is from RefSeq and is a predicted model, not a curated record.